UACAGAGGGUGCAAGCGUUAAUCGGAAUUACUGGGCGUAAAGCGAGCGUAGUCGGUUAUUUAAGUCGGAUGUGAAAUCCCCGGGCUCAACCUGGGAAUUGCAUUCGAAACUGGAUAGCUAGAGUUCGGCAGAGGGAAGCGGAAUUUCUGGUGUAGCGGUGAAAUGCGUAGAUAUCAGAAGGAACAUCAGUGGCGAAAGCGGCUUCCUGGACCAGAACUGACGAUCAGGCUCGAAAGCGUGGGGAGCAAACAGG
RNAcentral lists this ribosomal RNA (253 nucleotides) under uncultured bacterium. Its description in RNAcentral is "partial 16S ribosomal RNA". It matches the Rfam family "Bacterial small subunit ribosomal RNA", at positions 524 to 776 of the family's 1533-position model. The record is from RNAcentral.